Molecule: long non-coding RNA, 224 nt
Filed under: Paramuricea clavata
Lineage: Eukaryota; Metazoa; Cnidaria; Anthozoa; Malacalcyonacea; Plexauridae
Source: RNAcentral
CUGACUCUUAAUUAUAUAAAAGUACCUUGAAUUUUUAAGUUUAAUUAAAAAGCAAAAUGCUCUGCGGACAUGUUCAUGAGAAUAUAAUUUUUUUGUGUAACGAAAUCUACAACACUUGUCAAUCAUAUUGCAUGUGUGUCUAAAAAUAACAUGUGGGCGUCCCACGGUCUAGACGGGUUUUGUGUCAGGCCCUAUUUCAAAUUAGGGCCUGAACUUCAGGUUAU